CUGAGCCUUGAAAUUGCGCAGAGAACCUUGAGUUCUAUUCCAGUGAAACAAAGUUGCAAGGAGGCAAGCAAAGGCUUUCCAUCCGCAUCCCCCACCCCCAAAGUCCAGCUCUGUGCACUUUUUAAAUCUUUAGUUCUUUUGUUUGCGAUGUCUACAUUCUUCGCGGCACUGUGGAUUUCUGAAGACACUGCCAGCCACAUUGAAAUAUUCUUCCUGUCAGAAAUGAAGCGUUGAAUUAGCAUAUGGUGAAGGAAGUUGCCUGUCCAGGAAGGAACCUACAGUGCUAUUCUAACGGGUAGAGCUUCAGGAGCCGGAGAAGUGACUCUGGCAGGGCUCUGGCUGCUUCCUGCCUGUAGUCUGUCAGCUUAUUUUCCUGGUUUUCUCUUCUGACGUCCGGAAUCUCAUCGAUGGGUUAUCACUUACCCCUUCCUUCAUCCUCCCAAAGCAGGGGGACGCUUCAGUCAGCCUUCUUCCUUAGAUGAAUGUAUUCAUACAUAACUGUUGGUGGAAUGAAUACAUUCCUUUUCGGUUUCCUCUGUCACUUCUCACUAGCUUGGUGGCUUAUUUACUUAGUGGUUGGUUACCUUAUCUCUCUGAAGGCUAUGGAUGAGUCAGCGAAUGAGGCCAGGGGAGGACUCUGUGGCGUGCAACCUGAUAUGAGGUGCCAUCUGGUACCUUCUUUCUCAACCUCCCAUCUCCCAAACCUCCUCUACCGGCCCACCCCUUGACAGGAUGCUGCCUGACUUUGUUUCCUAGGCAAAACCCCGGGAAAAUGCUCUUUGUCCUUAAUGAUCCUUCAGCUGUUUUUUCAGGAUCUGUAGUAGACACCUCAUUUUUUUUUUUGUCCAGAACCCCCUUCUCAAUUCUUUGGGAAUGUCGCCCCAGUUCCUCUGCUAUUUUUCUUUGGAGGAACACCCCUCCCCUUGGAAGCUGUCUUGUUGAGAGUCUGGCAGGGUAGGUGUUGUGUGUUGUGGCCAAGAAGUGAGCCUGUGACCCAAGCUGAGCUCGUCAGUCUGUCUCUGGGGAAUCGGAAUGUGAGCGACACAGCCUAAGAGCUGGGAAGCGGUCGGGCAGCUACUUUGGGACAGUGGUGACUGUCUAUCACCCCUGCUUCUGGGAUCUGUGGCACUUCCUUUGUUCCCGUCCUUUUCAAGGCCCUGUGGUUCAGCCUUGCCUUUGAUGCCGCAGCAUCUGCUUCCAAUAAAUUAGCUUUUUCUGACGCAAGCCAGACUCCGUUGCUGUUGCUUAUGAUCAAAGAACCCCGAAGAGGCCACCCUCUGCUCCCUUUUCUCUGUCUCUUGUAGCUCCCCCCACUGCUUACAGCUCUGGGGGCUUCACGUUUCUGUGAGAGCAAAACCCAGCUCCCAGAGUGGCCUGCAGGCCAAGCCCACACCGCUCUGGGGGCCUCUCUGCCUGCCUUCUUGGGGAGCACUCUCUCUUGGGCCCCCCUCACCUUCUCUCCUUCUUUGACCGUUCUGUGCACUCCUGCGUGGGGAUCUCCCAAGCUGCCUUCUGCCUGCGGGGCUCUUGGAAUUGGCUUUUUGAGAGCCCUUACCAACCCUUGCCUGGUAGGGGCUCUCAACAUACGUGAUACUUUCUCAUCAUAACAUGCAUUGUGUCAUCAUAUAUUUUAUCAUUGUUUAUCUCCUUCGCUAGACCAUAAGCUCCAUGAGGACAGGAACUAUACAUUUGUCCCUGACUGUAUUUUAGUGUCUAACGUGGCACUUGCUAGGCUAUAAGAGUCCAAAACAUUUUUGUGGAAUGAAUACAUAAAAAAACAUGCAAUCUGACCUUGCCAGACCACCCGAGGUAUGAAUUUGCUUCCAGUCUCCCACUUGUCAGGAUUUCUUGGCUUCAUCUGUUCUCUUUAGGGCUCUGGUCUGCACUGGGCAGUGAUGGCCGGAGUGGUUUCAUCACACACAUAAACACAGUCUUUGCUAGCAAGCUUUCCCGCAGCUCUCCUUUCUUUGACCUUCUAUCAUACCCCUGCCUAAUGUUCACCUUAUACCACCUGAUUAUAUUCUCCUAGAGAGGCCCAUUUGACGGUAGGAUUAUUAUGUCCUUGAAGGCAUCGAUUAGGAAUGUGAACACGAAUUCUUUUAUGGUUCUGUGCUUGAGUAGCUAAUUCAAUUCAUCCCAUCGAAGCGUAGUUUCCUCAUCUUUAAGAUGGGGAUAAUAAUAUCUGUCCUACUAUAUAAUGCCCGGUGGUGGUGAGAACAUGAAGAGAUAAUGUCAAAGCACUUAGAACAAUUGCUAAAUGGAUACAAAAUGUGAGAAAUGUUUAUCAUUGCCUUGUAUCUUUCUGAUAUACGUGAUAAUAUUUAGUCUUUUCUAGGCACUCUUCAGAUACUAGAAUGCCUUCAUCUGCCUGCCCUUACUUCACCUAGUAAGCGAAAUGAGAUAUACUACUGUUUCCCGCUGAAUACCCACUGAGAGCAGCACACGCAGAGCUAAGGGCUUCAUUUACUGUGUACAAGAAUGUGAGGUGGACAUUAGUUUCCCUCAUUUGACUGAGGAGAAAACAAAAGCUUGGAGAGCUUUAGCCACUUACUCAAGGUCACACAGCUUAUAAAUUGGGGAGCUGAGCCCAUGGACUCCAAAGCUAGUGCCCUUCCCCAGGACCUAUAGGGCCUCUCCCCUGCAAAUCUCUCAGAUGGCUGACCCCGGGUCAUACUCUGCCAAGUGCCCACCGUGACAUACUUUCUGUUCAUUUAAAGUUCACACCGUCAUCAUCAUUUCACAAUUGAGGAAGCGGUGGCUGAGAGAGAGAGAGAGAGAGAGAGAGAGAACUUGGACAUCUGCUUCCGGGUAGGAGAGAGAGUUACAACAGGCCACCACAACUAUUGCAGUAACUGGAAGACAACUGGACGCAUUGUACAAAACAUCUGCGAGAGACAGUGGAGAGCCUUGGAAGCCAUGAGCGGGAACGAUUAAUCUAGCAAAGAACCUUUUGGCCCGCUGAUCCUGCCUCAUUUUCUUCCCCGGGGGCAUCUGCCCGGUCUGAGCACAGGCAUGUACUUGACCUGAGUGGGCUGAGACUCUACUGAAGGAAAGGGAAACCACAGAGGUUGUGGCCAUCUCGAUAGGCUGGCAGGACAGAGAAACCAGAGGGGCCCCAAAGGCAAGGCUGGUUUUGUCUGUGGAGCAUUUGCUGAGCUGUGGGGAAGCUGAUGAGAAGUCUCAAUAACCCUGGAAUCUAGCACUGUCUAAAUCUGGGCCUGCAGCACAGGCCAGUUGUUUCAAGUUUCUUUCCUGGGGCCCAAGGGGAUCAGGGGAUCAUGCCCCCUUCUUCCCUUUGGUAUCUGUAUUCCUCUGCACCAACUGGGCCUACAUUUUCUGUGGCAAGUAGCUUUUCACAGACAUUGUCGCCCCCUGCUGUCAGCGAUUGGUGUUGCAAGGACUUGGAGCCUGCCCUUAGCAUCUUCUGUCUGGACAGUGUUCUCUCAAGAACUGGGGGUUUUAGCCCUGAUGAUCAGUUCCCAAGUCUGAGGAUUUUGUCUCACUGGUCUUCUCCACCCCUGAGUGUUAACUGUCUAGAUUGGUCGACGGCCGUGGCUGUCAGGUCCUCAUCUGUGAAAUAGCAUCAACAGUGCCCAUUUUGCAGGUUGUGCAUUCUUCGAGGAAGGAAAUAAAGUUCUUAGUGUUGUCUAGUAUGCAGUUAGUGAUUGGUAAGUAGUAAUAACAGUAGCAAUCCUUCUCAAAGCUCCUCAAAGGAGGCAGCCCUAGGUGGUAUUUCCAGUGGUGGGGAGAGAUGGCCUGACUCCAGAUGUUCUGGGGACAUUCUAGAUGUUCUCAGCCCUCCUCACCGGAGUGCACCAGGAGCCAGGAGCCUGGUGCCCAACACCAAGGAGGAGGAGAGGAGGAGGAAGGCUGGGCUGGUGAGUGCCAGGCAGCUCCCUGGACGUUAGCAUCUGGUCUGUUAACUGUUUUGUAUUGGUGAUUCUCAGGCCUCAGCCCUGGGAACUGAGGUUGCUCAAACUACCUCUGCCUUUCUGAAGGUUGCACCUGGGUCCUCUCUGACAAGAUGGGACCCCUGGCCUCCUUAGAUGGAGGCAUGCCGAGUUAACUGAUUGAUGGAGAACAGAGGUUAGAUAUUUCAAACUAGCUCUUGCCUGGGUGAACUGCUUUUCUGCCUCACUGUGUGGGCCCCACGCGGUGGGUGCUGGGGAGCCGUGGGUGUGGGUGCAGACGCCUGCCUGGGGGCUUCCUGGGGCCGGGAUCCCAGGGCCUUGGCCGCCUAGCAUCUCGGGGAGCUCAGACCUUCGGGCUCUGUGGCGUCAGCUCUGGAUGGUGCCCGUUUCCUGUUCUCCAGCUUCCCCCAUUGUCAGGUUCCCGUGAUACCAGCACCCCUCGCAGCAGCCGUCUCCUGGAGGCUUCUUUCCUGGCGAUGUAGAAGACUUCCCAUCAUUCUUCAUUUUGAAAGCACACACUGUCCCUUGGGCACUCAGCUGCAUUCCCCCAGAUCUUGGCGCUCUUUCCCCCGGGGCCCGCCCACGAUCUCUCUCCCAGUGUGCUUGGCCUCGUCUCUGGCUUGAGUGGACACAGCUGCGUGCAAGGCCCCUGCCUGGCCUUCUUUCUCUGGGUCCCGAGCAGCCGACCGAGCAGGGACGCAGCCGGCAGCCGCCCGUGGUGACGGGUUGGAGUCUGACGCCUUCCCGGGCAGCCCACAGACCCAGCAGCACCCUACUAACUCUGAGCCACCCUUUCUUUUCUGUCCUCACAGCAUUACGACCCUGUGGCUGGUUAAUUUCUACCUGCUGGCUUGUUGCCACAUACGUAGACUUAGGUAUGGGCCAUGUGACUUGCUUCUGUUCUAGAGUUGCCAGAUAAAAUACGCAGUGUCCGGUUAAAUUUAAAUUUUGAAUAGGCAAGGAAUCUUUUUUUUUUUUUUUUUUUUUUUAGUUUAAGUGUGGCCUAUAUAUUGCAUGGACAUACUUAUACUAAAAAAAGAUCCCCUGUUUAUCUGAAAUUGAAGUUUAACUGGAUGCCUUGUAUUUUUAUUGGCCAAGUCUCGCAACUCUGUUCUUGUCUGCCCCAUCGGGGUCCUCUAGGGGCUUGGGAACUUUCUGGAGGAGGCUCCGUUCCUGACAGCAGGGGCUUCAUCUCAACCUUUAGAUUAAGAGACUUGUCACCCAUGAUGUCUUCCUUAGAUGGGGGGAUUCCCUGGAGGAAGGACUUGUGCCCCUGUCUCCCACUCCCACCCUUGAGAGGCUCCAGGUUAGCCCUGCUAUGUGUGCAGGGUCUCCAGCUAGGGUCUGAGGGCUUGGCUCAUGGUGAGCAAUUUCGGUGUGGGGCUCCCUUUCCUGCAGAGUUACCCAUCGGAGCUAAGCCCACACGCGUUCUGCCUGCUCGAGGGACCACUUUUCCUGACACGGUCGUGGGCUGGUGAGCAGCAGGGAAGCCUGGAGGGGAGAGGCCCCCCAUCACAGGUCUGGUGAUGCCUGCCGGCUGGGAGAUACAGCUCUGAGCUAAGCGAGCAUCCUCUGGGUGCCUCAUGUCAUUUUGUCAGGGCUCACAGCUUCCCUUUACACUCGUCUGUGGCAGCUGGUGUAGGAUAAAUAUCAGGCCCGGUCUUUGUUCUUUGCCUGGUGACCUUUCAAUUUCUUGGCUUGUGCUUCAUUUCAAAAUGUCUUUAUAUGGACGAGAGCAAGUAGCUCGACCAGGAUCUGGCUCUGGUGGCUCUCGGUCCGGUGCACAGCACGAGGCUGUCUCACUGGGGUGCUGGGGACGGGGAGGCCGAGGAGGCUGACCUGAGCGGGGGAGGUUUACCCGAGGCCCAGGCUCUGGCAGCGCUGACUGGUGAUUGCUUCUCUUCUCAGCAGAGAUGACAGAAGGUGUCAAAGCCAAAUAUUCACUGGAGGCAAAGUCUGAACACUUCAAAUAAGAUUUAGUGACUCAUCGGUCGUGGGCAACUCAGGACUCCGAGAAUCCCUGCAGGAAAAAAUGACUCUUAUCCUUAGGUGGGAAGUCGAGGAAGCCUCUGGAAACCUGUGGUGGCAGCCAGAUGGCACCGCCAAUAUUCUGCCUGGAAAUUGCAGAUCAUCAGGCUCGUUAGCCAACGUCUAUUGAGUACCUGCUGUGUGCCUGGCUUUUAUAAGCUCUGGCUAUUCAUAGAUGGAUAAACUCACCAUGAUACCAACUGUCAUGAAGCUUCAUAGUCUGGUGAGAGGCAAGCAUUACAUGAAAUUAGCCAACAUAUAAUUAUGUAAUUAUAAAUUCUGAUCAAUGUGCUGAAGAAAAAGGGUAAGAUGUUAUGAGAGAAUAAUAGGAGGGGCAGGUUUGGGAGCAGGUGAGCAGAAAGGUAUCUCUGGGGGAGGGAUACAUAAACCAAGACCAAGAGGGGAAAGGAGUCAGCCAGGUGAGGAAUGGAAUGGAGAGUAUCUGGGCAGGGGAAGACCAUGUGAGCUGCUGCAAUGGAGAAAAUGAUAAUAAUAAAAACAUGUGGUGCUUACUAUGUGCCAGGCGUUCUUAAAAUUAGUCCUUGGGGCACCUGGGUGGCUCAGUCAGUUG
Felis catus (domestic cat) is the source of this 6510-nucleotide long non-coding RNA. RefSeq lists it as uncharacterized. Lineage: Eukaryota; Metazoa; Chordata; Mammalia; Carnivora; Felidae. The record is from RefSeq and is a predicted model, not a curated record. The transcript is spliced from 4 exons.